AAAAACUAUAUUACAAAUGUUCCCAAAAAUAUGUAAAAUUAAGUGUUAUUUAGUUUAGAUGCUGGUUCAAAAUGAUGCUAAAAUAUGAAUUUAUAGGAUUCAGCACAUUUUAAAAGAGUAAACUGUAACAUAUUACGAUUUUUUAACUGACAUACGAACCAAUUUCCUUAGAACACACACACACCAAAAACAGUGUUUUUCUUAUGUAAAAUUGUAAUUACAUCGAUUUUUUAUUGGGUAAACGCCAUUAAUUCGCUUUUUAUUUUAUUUUUCACAUUGUCAAAAAUAAAAGAGAAAUUAUGUCAAUUUUAUAGAUUUUCUAACGUGCUAUAUAAUGUUUAAGAAAUUGCGGCGGGGAUACUCUACCAUCCAUUGCACUUUGUCUUCAUGUGCAAGUGCAACCCGUGAUGUAAUCGUUUGAUUUUAUACCAAAACUCGAAAAACUAAUUUAUAAUCCAAAAUAGUGUAUUACCUUACUUUUGAAUAUAGCCUAAUGUAAUUUAUCUUUAAAUCAUGAUUUGAACUUUUCUUUUAAAAGAUAAAAUAUGUAUCUUUAAAUUUUUUUUAUUUUUUUAUCUGUUGUGUGUCCAUGUAAACAUAUAUAUUCAAACUCAAUGUGGACAUACAUGUUUUAUAUAUGUCAAUUCUUUCAGAUAGUUAUUUUUAAGUUUUUAUCGCUAAAAUAGCACUAAAAUAAUCUAAAAUAGUCUUUUUUAUUUUGACUUUUUAACUUUUAAUUUUUAAUUUAAAAAAAAAUCUUAAAAGU
This 766-nucleotide long non-coding RNA is filed under the name Brassica rapa (field mustard). RNAcentral describes it as "long non-coding RNA (BRAP_LNC006378)". The record is from RNAcentral. Lineage: Eukaryota; Viridiplantae; Streptophyta; Magnoliopsida; Brassicales; Brassicaceae.